Molecule: RNA transcript, 2264 nt
Organism: Cucumis sativus (cucumber)
Lineage: Eukaryota; Viridiplantae; Streptophyta; Magnoliopsida; Cucurbitales; Cucurbitaceae
Gene name: actin-related protein 9
Exons: 21
Source: RefSeq, a predicted model, not a curated record
AAAUUGAAAAUUGAAAAAUUAGUACCAACAAAAUUGUUAUCAAUAGAAAAAAUAAAUGAAACUAUUCGAUAAAAAAAAUUCAUAACCGGUCCGACAGCAAUUAGCGCCAAUUCGAGAGAUGUGCUCGGCUGCCCUGCCACAAGACGAACGCCUUCGCCAUGGAUUACCUGAAAUCAGUUGUCCCUUCACAACUUAUUGCCGAACGAGGUUCAAAUUUAGUAGUCAUAAACCCUGGAUCUGCAAAUAUUAGGAUUGGCCUUGCAUCACAGGAUGCUCCUUUUAAUGUUCCUCAUUGCAUUGCUCGUUAUACCAACCAAGUCCCCAAGAGAAAUGUUCAAGAUCAGAUGCUUAAUUCACAAGUUACAACUGCACAGCACAUGGAGCGGGAGAGGGCAUAUGAUGUUAUUGCCUCGUUGCUAAAAAUACCGUUUCUGGAUGAAGAGGUUGCUAACAGUUCUUUCCCUCGUAAGAUGGGGCGAGUUGAUGGACAUGGUAUGCAUAAUGGCAAAAAGGAUACUGUCUUUAGUUGGACUGACGUACAUGAGAGGGACCCUACUUCACCAGUGGCAGUGGAAAGUUCAAGCUCCAAGGAUGUGAACCAUGAGCCUUUGGACCAGCGCGUAGAUACUGAUUCCAAGGAGCUUACUUCCAGUAUAAUCAAAUAUAGACAAUUUAUUUGUGGUGAAGAUGCUCUUAAAAUAUCUCCCAGUGAGCCAUAUUGCCUGCACCGCCCUAUUCGCAGAGGUCACUUGAAUAUCUCACAGCAUUACCCUACUCAACAGGUACUUGAGGACUUGCAUGCUAUUUGGGACUGGAUUUUGAUAGAAAAAUUGCAUAUUCCUCAUAGUGAAAGAAACUUUUAUUCUGCUAUUCUGGUGGUCCCAGAAACAUUUGACAACCGCGAAAUAAAGGAAAUGUUGACAAUAGUAUUGCGAGAUUUGCGGUUUGGUUCAGCAGUGGUUCAUCAGGAAGGGCUUGCUGCAGUUUUUGGGAACGGACUAUCAUCAGCAUGUGUUGUUAACGUGGGAUCACAGGUGACAACAGUUAUUUGCAUUGAGGAUGGAGUUGCCCUGCCUGCCACAGCAAAGACUUUGCCUUUUGGUGGAGAGGACUUAUCUAGAUGCCUCCUGUGGACUCAAAGGCAUCACCAAACUUGGCCACCAAUUUGUACAGACAUCUUGUCGAAGCCUGUAGAUCUUCUGAUGCUUAAUAGAUUGAAAGAGUCAUACUGUGAGAUUAGGGAAGGAGAGGUCGAUGCUGUUGCUGUAGUUCAUUCAUAUGAAGAAGGCACCCCUCCUAGUUCUCAUAAAACAAGACUAACUGCGCUUAAUGUACCACCCAUGGGUUUAUUCUUCCCAAUGCUUUUGGUUCCAGAUGUGUAUCCACCACCACCCCGUGCAUGGUUUCAUGACUAUGAAGAUAUGCUGGAAGAGACAUGGCAGACAGAGUACUCCAAAAGACCUGAUGUACCAGAUAAUGUAUAUCCUGGGGUUAACGUUAAUUACCCAAUGUGGGAUAGCUACCCAGUUUAUGCAACUAAACCUAAGAAAGAAGAGAAAGUUGGCCUUGCUGAAGCUAUCACAAGCAGUAUCCUCUUAACAGGGCGGAUUGACCUCCAGAGGAAACUGUUCUUAAGCAUACAGUUAGUGCUAGUAAUAUUGUUUUGGGCUUAGGUAGGUGGAGUGGCUUUAACAAGGGGUCUUAUUCCUGCAAUGGAGGAAAGAGUUUUGCAUGCAAUUCCUUCAAAUGAAGCAAUUGACACUGUUGAGGUGUUGCAAUCAAGAAUAAACCCUUCUUUUGUAUCAUGGAAAGGUGGAGCGAUUAUUGGAGUGCUUGACUUUGGGCGGGAUGCUUGGAUACAUCGUGAAGACUGGAUUAACAGUGGAAUUUUUACUGGAAGUGGCAGAAAAUACAAGGAUUCUUACUAUCUUCAAGCACAAGCGAUGUGCUACAUGAAUUCCUAAAAGAUGAUAAGCUUUUCUAGCAUUCACAAUUUAACCAGUUCUUGCUCUAACUAGAAAGGCGUUAGCUCAGGUUUUGAUUUGUAAAUUCUCUCGUAGCAAAUAUGCUCUCAAGUGACUUUUUUUUCCUUUUUCUGAUCAAACUCAAAUGACGUUGGUCCUUGUGCUUUUGAAUUUUUCUCUUUUAGUGAUUUUUUGAUUAAUUGUCUUCAUUUUGAAGAUUGAUGUCAGAUUGGGGAAUGAAACACUUAUCCUUUAAUUGAAUCUAUAGUUUCAGGAAGUGAAGAUUUGAUAAUAGAAAAA